AUCGGGCGGGGCUCGGGGCCCGCGUGUUCCUGGUCGCCGGGGCUGCGGGGAGCUCUGGGACCAUGGGAUCUCCAAGCCGGGACUUGGAGAUGAAUGGAUUCAGGUACAGACAUUGAGGCCUUUUGGUUUUGCCUCUUGCAUGAGUGCUGAAGCUGUGGGAUGCAGCUUACAUCCAGCAUUUUCAGAACAGGUGCUCCCAUGACUACUGGAACAAAGAAGAAAAUCUCUAUCAAAAAGGUCAGCUCAGGGGAUUGAUUCUACAUGGGCACUGGGGAACUCAAGAUCAUGGCAACCACACAAUACUGUAAGUGCACUAUUUGGAAUACGUGGUCUCCUUAUUUGUGGGUCAGAAGAGAUAGGGAAAGGAUCACCUGCCUGCUCUGAAACUAUUUGGCUUAGAUGUGAGCACAUGACU
Pipistrellus kuhlii (Kuhl's pipistrelle) is the source of this 415-nucleotide long non-coding RNA. RefSeq lists it as uncharacterized. Lineage: Eukaryota; Metazoa; Chordata; Mammalia; Chiroptera; Vespertilionidae. The record is from RefSeq and is a predicted model, not a curated record. The transcript has 4 exons.